AACACCAUUACAUACUCCACUCUUUUAGUGGCAAGUGAAAAAAAGGAUGACCUGGAUGUUGGCCUCAUGCUUCUUUCUCAUGCUAAAAAAGAUGGUGUUGCCCCAAACCUUGUUAUGUGCAGAUGUCUUCUUGCUAUGUGCUCAAGGAGAUUCCAGAAAGCUUGUACACUUGGUGAGCCUGUCUUGUCUAAUAACUCUGGUCGCCUGCAGCUUGACAGUAAAUGGACAUCGUUGGCCUUAAUGGUCUACAGGGAAA
This 256-nucleotide unclassified non-coding RNA is filed under the name Hevea brasiliensis (rubber tree). The record is from RNAcentral. Lineage: Eukaryota; Viridiplantae; Streptophyta; Magnoliopsida; Malpighiales; Euphorbiaceae.